GACGAACGCUGGCGGCGUGCUUAACACAUGCAAGUCGAACGGAAAGGCCCUGCUUUUGUGGGGUGCUCGAGUGGCGAACGGGUGAGUAACACGUGAGUAACCUGCCCUUGACUUUGGGAUAACUUCAGGAAACUGGGGCUAAUACCGGAUAGGAGCUCCUGCUGCAUGGUGGGGGUUGGAAAGUUUCGGCGGUUGGGGAUGGACUCGCGGCUUAUCAGCUUGUUGGUGGGGUAGUGGCUUACCAAGGCUUUGACGGGUAGCCGGCCUGAGAGGGUGACCGGCCACGUUGGGACUGAGAUACGGCCCAGACUCCUACGGGAGGCAGCGGUGGGGAAUAGUGCACAAUGGGCGGAAGCCUGAUGCAGCAACGCCGCGUGCGGGAUGACGGCCUUCGGGUUGUAAACCGCUUUCGCCUGUGACGAAGCGUGAGUGACGGUAAUGGGUAAAGAAGCACCGGCUAACUACGUG
This 468-nucleotide ribosomal RNA is filed under the name uncultured bacterium. Its description in RNAcentral is "partial 16S ribosomal RNA". It matches the Rfam family "Bacterial small subunit ribosomal RNA", at positions 28 to 507 of the family's 1533-position model. The record is from RNAcentral.